GGGGGUUGGUGGAAGGAUGGUCUAAACCGUUGGUUUUCGACCACUACGACCCGGGUUCGAUUCCCGCAUUUGGCA
Molecule: transfer RNA, 75 nt
Filed under: Cordylochernes scorpioides
Lineage: Eukaryota; Metazoa; Arthropoda; Arachnida; Pseudoscorpiones; Chernetidae
Description: tRNA-Glu
Source: RNAcentral